CAGAGCCGCGAACGGGUGAGUAACACGUGGGUCACCUACCUCGAUGACCGGGACAACCCGUCGAAAGACGGGCUAAUACCGGAUGUGCACUUCGGUGGAAAGGUAGCUUCGGCUUCCGCAUCGAGAUGGGCCCGCGGCGCAUUAGCUUGUUGGUGGGGUAACGGCCUACCAAGGCGACGAUGCGUAGCUGGUCUGAGAGGACGAUCAGCCACACUGGGACUGAGACACGGCCCAGACUCCUACGGGAGGCAGCAGUGGGGAAUCUUGCGCAAUGCGCGAAAGCGUGACGCAGCAACGCCGCGUGGGGGAAGAAGGCCUUCGGGUUGUAAACCUCUUUCAGUUGGGACGAAGCUUCUGCGGUGAAUAGCCGUAUGGAGUGACGGUACCUUCACAAGAAGCCCCGGCUAACUACGUGCCAGCAGCCGCGGUAAUACGUAGGGGGCAAGCGUUGUCCGGAAUCAUUGGGCGUAAAGCGCGUGUAGGCGGCUCGAUAAGUCCGUUCUGAAAGUCCAGGGCUCAACCCUGGGAUGCGGAUGGAUACUGUCGAGCUCGAGUCCGGAAGAGGCGAGUGGAAUUCCUGGUGUAGCGGUGAAAUGCGCAGAUAUCAGGAGGAACACCAAUGGCGAAGGCAGCUCGCUGGGACGUGACUGACGCUGAGACGCGAAAGCGUGGGGAGA
RNAcentral lists this ribosomal RNA (677 nucleotides) under bacterium. Its description in RNAcentral is "bacterial SSU rRNA". It matches the Rfam family "Bacterial small subunit ribosomal RNA", at positions 91 to 769 of the family's 1533-position model. The record is from RNAcentral.